RNAcentral lists this signal recognition particle RNA (299 nucleotides) under Aotus nancymaae (Ma's night monkey). Its description in RNAcentral is "Metazoan signal recognition particle RNA (ENSANAG00000005768.1)". It matches the Rfam family "Metazoan signal recognition particle RNA". From Rfam's summary of the family: The signal recognition particle (SRP) is a universally conserved ribonucleoprotein. It is involved in the co-translational targeting of proteins to membranes. Lineage: Eukaryota; Metazoa; Chordata; Mammalia; Primates; Aotidae. The record is from RNAcentral.
GCCGGGCGCGGUGGUGCGUGCCUGUAGUCCCAGCUACUCGGGAGGCUGAGGUGGGAGGAUCUUUUGAGCCCAGGAGUUCUGGGCUGUACUGCGCUAUGCCGAUCGGGUGUCCGCACUAAGUUCGGCAUCAAUAUGGUGACCUCCCGGGAGCGGGGGACUACCAGGUUGCCUAAGGAGGGGUGAACCGGCCCAGGUUGCAAACGGAGCAGAUCAAAACUCCCGUGCUGAUCAGUAGUGGGAUCGCGCCUGUGAAUAGCCACUGCACUCCAGCCUGGGCAACAUAGAGAGACCCCGUUUCU